This 253-nucleotide ribosomal RNA is filed under the name uncultured bacterium. Its description in RNAcentral is "partial 16S ribosomal RNA". It matches the Rfam family "Bacterial small subunit ribosomal RNA", at positions 524 to 776 of the family's 1533-position model. The record is from RNAcentral.
UACAGAGGGGGCAAGCGUUGUUCGGAAUUACUGGGCGUAAAGGGCUCGUAGGCGGCCAACUAAGUCAGACGUGAAAUCCCUCGGCUUAACCGGGGAACUGCGUCUGAUACUGGAUGGCUUGAGUUCGGGAGAGGGAUGCGGAAUUCCAGGUGUAGCGGUGAAAUGCGUAGAUAUCUGGAGGAACACCGGUGGCGAAGGCGGCAUCCUGGACCGACACUGACGCUGAGGAGCGAAAGCCAGGGGAGCAAACGGG